GACGAACGCUGGCGGCGUGCUUAACACAUGCAAGUCGAACGGAAAGGCCCUGCUUUUGUGGGGUGCUCGAGUGGCGAACGGGUGAGUAACACGUGAGUAACCUGCCCUUGACUUUGGGAUAACUUCAGGAAACUGGGGCUAAUACCGGAUAGGAGCUCCUGCUGCAUGGUGGGGGUUGGAAAGUUUCGGCGGUUGGGGAUGGACUCGCGGCUUACCAGCUUGUUGGUGGGGUAGUGGCUUACCAAGGCUUUGACGGGUAGCCGGCCUGAGAGGGUGACCGGCCACAUUGGGACUGAGAUACGGCCCAGACUCCUACGGGAGGCAGCAGUGGGGAAUAUUGCACAAUGGGCGGAAGCCUGAUGCAGCAACGCCGCGUGCGGGAUGACGGCCUUCGGGUUGUAAACCGCUUUCGCCUGUGACGAAGCGUGAGUGACGGUAAUGGGUAAAGAAGCAUCGGCUAACUACGUG
Molecule: ribosomal RNA, 468 nt
Filed under: uncultured bacterium
Lineage: Bacteria
Description: partial 16S ribosomal RNA
Rfam family: Bacterial small subunit ribosomal RNA
Source: RNAcentral